Molecule: long non-coding RNA, 239 nt
Filed under: Theropithecus gelada (gelada)
Lineage: Eukaryota; Metazoa; Chordata; Mammalia; Primates; Cercopithecidae
Description: lncRNA (ENSTGEG00000005183.1)
Source: RNAcentral
CGCAGAGAGAAGAGCUCUCCACUUGGCCCUAACUCAUAACCUGCCUCAUUCCUGGAAGAUUCGGGGUUUUUCUGUAAGACUGAAGACGACUUCAAUGACUGGUGCCAGCAAGUCAAAAAGCUGUCUCUGCUCGGAGGCGCCCUGCCCAUGUUUGAGCUGGUGGAGCAGCAGCCUUCACACCUGGCCUGCCCCGAUGUCCUGAACCUGUCCCUAGAUUCUUCUGAUGUAGAGCGACUGGA